This 577-nucleotide long non-coding RNA is filed under the name Zea mays. Its description in RNAcentral is "long non-coding RNA (ZMAY_LNC001856)". The record is from RNAcentral. Lineage: Eukaryota; Viridiplantae; Streptophyta; Magnoliopsida; Poales; Poaceae.
UGAUGAGUAGCAGGGGAGCUUGUCUCGUCAAGUUCUGACAGCCGCGACAGACAGAGCAGAGAUGGAUGAUAAUGGAUUCAUCAAUCAUCAGUUCAGUUGGUGUAGUUGUCGAGGGAUGCGUGCGGCUCGGCGGCCCUGGCGGCGGGGGUGGGCUCGACGGUGGGCGACGGCGGGACGGGCGUGCAGAGCAGGUCCCUGGGCAGGUCCGGGAUGCCCCGGAGGUAGAAGGUGUAGAAGAUCUUGAAGGGGAAGACGAUCUGGUUGAGCUUGACCUGGCCGUAGACGCCCUCGAAGACGCCGGAGCCGCCGGUGACCGCCAGGUACGACUCCUCGUAGGUCAGGUACGGGCCCUGCACCGAGAUGUGGCCGUAGUCUCCGAAGUAGAAGCUGUAGAUGGCCUCGUAGCGGUCGCCGUUGCGGUCGGGGACGUGCUGGAUGAGCACGCAGAUGCCCGCGGUGACGCCCAGCCGCUUGUCCAGGCUGCCGUUGUACACCUGCAGGUUGGGGUGGUGGAGAGAGAGAUGGACGGAUGAGCAGAGGCUAGAGGCUUGCUUGCUUGACUAGGAACAGAGGGGGG